GACGAACGCUGGCGGCGUGCUUAACACAUGCAAGUCGAACGGAAAGGCCCUGCUUUUGUGGGGUGCUCGAGUGGCGAACGGGUGAGUAACACGUGAGUAACCUGCCCUUUACUUUGGGAUAACUUCAGGAAACUGGUGCUAAUACCGGAUAGGAGCUCCUGCUGCAUGGUGGGGGUUGGAAAGUUUCGGCGGUUGGGGAUGGACUCGCGGCUUAUCAGCUUGUUGGUGGGGUAGUGGCUUACCAAGGCUUUGACGGGUAGCCGGCCUGAGAGGGUGACCGGCCACAUUGGGACUGAGAUACGGCCCAGACUCCUACGGGAGGCAGCAGUGGGGAAUAUUGCACAAUGGGCGGAAGCCUGAUGCAGCAACGCCGCGUGCGGGAUGACGGCCUUCGGGUUGUAAACCGCUUUCGCCUGUGACGAAGCGUGAGUGACGGUAAUGGGUAAAGAAGCACCGGCUAACUACGUG
RNAcentral lists this ribosomal RNA (468 nucleotides) under uncultured bacterium. RNAcentral's name for it is "partial 16S ribosomal RNA". It matches the Rfam family "Bacterial small subunit ribosomal RNA", at positions 28 to 507 of the family's 1533-position model. The record is from RNAcentral.